UGGAGAGUUUGAUCCUGGCUCAGAUUGAACGCUGGCGGCAGGCCUAACACAUGCAAGUCGAGCGGUAACAGAAAGUAGCUUGCUACUUUGCUGACGAGCGGCGGACGGGUGAGUAAUGCCUGGGAAUUUGCCCAUUCGAGGGGGAUAACAGUUGGAAACGACUGCUAAUACCGCAUACGCCCUACGGGGGAAAGGAGGGGACCUUCGGGCCUUCCGCGAAUGGAUAAGCCCAGGUGGGAUUAGCUAGUAGGUGAGGUAAUGGCUCACCUAGGCGACGAUCCCUAGCUGUUCUGAGAGGAUGAUCAGCCACACUGGGACUGAGACACGGCCCAGACUCCUACGGGAGGCAGCAGUGGGGAAUAUUGCACAAUGGGCGAAAGCCUGAUGCAGCCAUGCCGCGUGUGUGAAGAAGGCCUUCGGGUUGUAAAGCACUUUCAGCGAGGAGGAAAGGUUACUGGCUAAUAUCCAGUAGCUGUGACGUUACUCGCAGAAGAAGCACCGGCUAACUCCGUGCCAGCAGCCGCGGUA
RNAcentral lists this ribosomal RNA (528 nucleotides) under Burzellia piscidermidis. RNAcentral describes it as "bacterial SSU rRNA". It matches the Rfam family "Bacterial small subunit ribosomal RNA", at positions 1 to 522 of the family's 1533-position model. The record is from RNAcentral. Lineage: Bacteria; Pseudomonadati; Pseudomonadota; Gammaproteobacteria.